GAUGAACGCUGGCGGCGUGCCUAAUACAUGCAAGUCGAGCGAACAGAUGAGGAGCUUGCUCCUCUGACGUUAGCGGCGGACGGGUGAGUAACACGUGGAUAACCUACCUAUAAGACUGGGAUAACUUCGGGAAACCGGAGCUAAUACCGGAUAAUAUAUUGAACCGCAUGGUUCAAUAGUGAAAGACGGUUUUGCUGUCACUUAUAGAUGGAUCCGCGCCGCAUUAGCUAGUUGGUGAGGUAACGGCUUACCAAGGCAACGAUGCGUGGCCGACCUGGGAGGGGGGUGGGCCACAACAGUAGGGGUAACACGGCCAGCAGCCUCCGGGGGGCGGCAGGAGGGGAGAAUACGGCACGGGGGGAAGACGGAAGGGGCAACGACGCGGGGGGGGUGAAGGUCUUCGGCUCGGUAAACUCUGCUUUUAGGGAAGAACAAAUGUGGCAGGAACUAUGGACGGCUUGACGGUACCUAAACAAGAAGCCACGGCUAACUACGUG
Molecule: ribosomal RNA, 497 nt
Filed under: uncultured bacterium
Lineage: Bacteria
Description: partial 16S ribosomal RNA
Rfam family: Bacterial small subunit ribosomal RNA
Source: RNAcentral